Molecule: ribosomal RNA, 200 nt
Filed under: Staphylococcus haemolyticus
Lineage: Bacteria; Bacillati; Bacillota; Bacilli; Caryophanales; Staphylococcaceae
Description: partial 23S rRNA
Rfam family: Bacterial large subunit ribosomal RNA
Source: RNAcentral
GAUACUACCCUAGCUGUGUUGGCUUUCUAACCCGCACCACUUAUCGGGGUGGGAGACAGUGUCAGGCGGGCAGUUUGACUGGGGCGGUCGCCUCCUAAAAGGUAACGGAGGCGCUCAAAGGUUCCCUCAGAAUGGUUGGAAAUCAUUCAUAGAGUGUAAAGGCAUAAGGGAGCUUGACUGCGAGACCUACAAGUCGAGCA